This 484-nucleotide ribosomal RNA is filed under the name uncultured bacterium. RNAcentral's name for it is "partial 16S ribosomal RNA". It matches the Rfam family "Bacterial small subunit ribosomal RNA", at positions 30 to 507 of the family's 1533-position model. The record is from RNAcentral.
AUUGAACGCUGGCGGCAGGCCUAACACAUGCAAGUCGAGCGGAUGAAGGGAGCUUGCUCCUGGAUUCAGCGGCGGACGGGUGAGUAAUGCCUAGGGAUCUGCCUGGUAGUGGGGGAUAACGUCCGGAAACGGGCGCUAAUACCGCAUACGUCCUGAGGGAGAAAGUGGGGGAUCUUCGGACCUCACGCUAUCAGAUGAGCCUAGGUCGGAUUAGCUAGUUGGUGGGGUAAAGGCCUACCAAGGCGACGAUCCGUAACUGGUCUGAGAGGAUGAUCAGUCACACUGGAACUGAGACACGGUCCAGACUCCUACGGGAGGCAGCAGUGGGGAAUAUUGGACAAUGGGCGAAAGCCUGAUCCAGCCAUGCCGCGUGUGUGAAGAAGGUCUUCGGAUUGUAAAGCACUUUAAGUUGGGAGGAAGGGCAGUAAGUUAAUACCUUGCUGUUUUGACGUUACCGACAGAAUAAGCACCGGCUAACUUCGUG